This is a long non-coding RNA of Cheilinus undulatus (humphead wrasse), 474 nucleotides long. RefSeq lists it as uncharacterized. NCBI's taxonomy places the organism in Eukaryota, Metazoa, Chordata, Actinopteri, Labriformes, Labridae. The record is from RefSeq and is a predicted model, not a curated record. The transcript is spliced from 3 exons.
CCAGAGAAAGCUAGGAGGAAAAGGAAGAAGAAACUGCUGGCGUCUUUGAAUUCUCCCUGCUUUUGUCUGUCUCGUUCCUUGCCCUCUCGCUGUCUCUCGUCGGCCUGACUGACUGGUGCCUGCAGUUUCCUCUUGACACACUCCAGUGAGCCCACCGCCCUCCAUCCGCGCUUUCAAGUUAACGAGCCCCUUCGGUCUCCUCCUCGUGUCUGCGAGUCGAGCUAGGAUAUGAGUGUAAUGCCGUGAGGUCGCUGGCUGCGCUCUCCCUGUGCCUCUGUUCUUACCUGACCCUGCCAUGACCAGCAAGUGUCUUAAGACGGUUGUGCCCGCACAAGUACAGCUUGGCUGAAUCCUAAACUCCGCAUUUGCAGACUCACGGACUUCAAGGCGUUUACUGAUCCUAAACACAUCUCCAACACAACUGUUGACAAAAAUACACACUGGCCAAAUGUCAGCAGCACUACUACUGCUGUC